UGCAGCAGCAUGUUUCCACAGAUGCUUGCUGCAGAGGGAGGUUUUGCUGGACUAAUUCUGAGGGGAAAGGGUACCACUGGGAAGUUCACUGACAUAGCAGAUUCUGAAGCAGUUGGAAAAAGUGCAGUGAAUGAGAAAAUUUUCAAGAAAACACAUUUCUGUGCAUGCUUCUACCUGGCUGGGAGUACAAAGCAGUCAGUGGCCUUGGAGGGCGACUCUCGUGACAGGAGUUAAUUUUAUCAUCCCCCACAAAAUUGCAUGUGAUGCCUCAUCAAAAAAAACCUUAAGUUGGGAGUCUGUUUUAUUCUUGAAAGAAACCUUCCAGUUCUGUCUAUAAUGCUGCUACCACAUACCACUGUUACAAAGUUGCCACCAAAGAAUACAAUACAAUAUUCUUUUCUGUAACCACUGCAUCUAAUUUUGGGAUUAUGAGACUGAUUCCAGACUCACUAAGAGUAGAGAAAGGACGCCAGUGUUUCUUUUGGCUUUGGAUCAAGCAUUUGUAAGAAUCAGGGCUAGGAAAAAUGUCAAACUAGAAGACUUUAAUAGAUUACAAACAUUGGCUUUUCAAAGAUAGUAGAGGAAUACUUUCCAGAAUCAAAGCAGAAUCCUACUAUCACGGGUAUGUUGAAGAUCUAAUUGCUGGUAUUUUGUGUCAGUGAUGUCAAGUUCUGGUUCUGGAUUUGGGCUGAAGAGCCUUAAGAUCAACAGCAGACAGGAAUUCUUUAUGAUUUGUUACAGCAGUGAAUGAUGUUGGUACUUCAUUUCUGUAUAGGAAAGUAGCUUAAAAAAAAAAAUCUCUGAUAGAUGAUCUAAAGCAACAUAGUUUUUUAUAUUAAUAUUUUAGUAUUUUAUGUUAGUCUUAGCCCUCCAGACUCAGUAUGCAGUCAUUCUUUUGAACCUGUACAGACCUCAUUAGGAAAAGGGAAUGAAUCAACGUUGCUGGAGUUUGUGUGUUACGGAUUCAAAAUAUUUCACACUUGAGACAAUGACUGUUACUUUAUGUUCAUGUGACACCACUCAUGGUUGUUUCCUAGACUGUGACUUAGGCUGUCAAACACUGCAGAACUGUAAAAAUAGCUGGUAUUUAGAUUUCUGUAACUUCCUUCAGGAAGAAAGUAAAAGGGAUUGGAUUUGCUGACCCAAGUGCUGGAAACAGGAAGAGAUGUUUAGCUGAAAUGAAAUUAAAUCUAACAAAAAAGGUUUCCUUUGUUUUGCAGUAUCUCCAGUGUGUUUGGAAAGCUAAUAAAAUUCAUCUCCUUGA
Molecule: long non-coding RNA, 1264 nt
Organism: Athene cunicularia (burrowing owl)
Lineage: Eukaryota; Metazoa; Chordata; Aves; Strigiformes; Strigidae
Exons: 2
Source: RefSeq, a predicted model, not a curated record